Cercocebus atys (sooty mangabey) is the source of this 5609-nucleotide long non-coding RNA. RefSeq lists it as uncharacterized. The record is from RefSeq and is a predicted model, not a curated record. The transcript is spliced from 5 exons. Lineage: Eukaryota; Metazoa; Chordata; Mammalia; Primates; Cercopithecidae.
UUGAGAUGUUGAAUGCACCAUAGUUGUUAUUAUUAUUAUUAUUGUUAUCUCUGGAGACAGUGGGCUAACAGAAAACUCAAAUCUACAGGAGUUUCUCAUCUCCUUUUCUAGGUCAGGUGCCUCAGCGUGGAUUCCCAGGACUUUAUAAGAUGAUGCACUGAAGGAUUUCAGCAAGAAAAUUCUGGAGUGUCAACUGAUACGUUUUUCAGUCUCACCUUGCUCACUGUUUGAGUAUUGUCACAUACACAUGCGUAUUAUUAGAGGGAAACUAGCAGCUUUGUAAGAAGAGGAAGGGAGACCUGAGCCCUCUCACCACGGGUUGCCCUGCACCACCACAGGACUCUGCAGAGAGUCCCCGCCAGCAAGAGGAUCUUCACCAGAUGUGGCCUCUUGACCUGAGACUUCUCAGCCUCCAUAACUCAACAAGAAUGACUUGAAUCCUGCCAGCAUGUUGGCGUUGUUUGUGCAAAGGGAGUUUAAAAGGCCUCUUGGAGGGCUGGGACGAUGGCUGGUGGCCCCAUGCCUUGUGCGGAAGUGGACAUGAGGCAGGCAUAUUGCUACCGAUGACCCCACAGCAGAACCAGAGGGGUUUUAUCCCAGAGGCUGUUUUAGGACAGACAAAUCUCCAAUGAAAGCUACGCUGUAAUCACACGAGAAGAAACUGUCAUUCAAGAGGCCAAGGUGGUGGCACAAUAAGGCCAUUUAUUCAAAGGUGUCAUCUUGCGGGAGGGCAGAAGGAUUCCUUGGAGCCUGGGGGCCAGCAGGACAGAGGAAACAGAAAGUACAUGGCCGAUGAUGUCUUUCAACCACAGAAUGGGCUGGAGGAAGCAGGGGACCCACCGUUUGAAUAAACCCAGUGGAAAAACAGAAGCCCCAUUUCAUACUUGACUCAGCUCUUCAAGUUUAAAUCUUGAAUCUCCUCAACUACACGGAACAGUGUUUCUCCCAAGUCAUCUGACACCCACUGUGUUCUCUGGAUCAUUCCUUCCUAGAGAACCUUGCUCUUGGAGGGCUGUGAUCUGCUCUCACCCACUUGCCUUUCUGAUCCACUGAGUGCAUCUCAACAGUCAUUUGGGGCGUUCUGAUCACUCAUGACCAGGAAGGGUUGGGUGGCUCGUGGAGCUUGGGAAGCGCUCUCACUGUGGUGAUCCCUAUCGGUGGUCAUGGGGUUGCCACAUUGAGCCACGUUUCUGCCCUCAUCUCUCUAUAUGUUACCGUGGAAUCUCUGACUGAGGACCCGUGGACUCACCCAAUGUGAUAAAGUCCUGAAGCCCAGCCAGGACUUCCGACCCCAACCGCAGGGCUUUCCAAUAUACAGACGCAUAAAACUUGAGAGGAAAUCGACUUAGAAACCUGAAGCUGGAAAACUGGUUGCCUGACAUUCUGUGCAAGACUGAAUAUCUGAGGAACGAGGGCGUGUAACUUUGGGAACAUGUUUUUUCCGGCCUAUGUAGACCCCAGGAAACUUUGCAGUUCUUCCCCAAGUAUGGAUGGAGUCAAACUUGAUGUCCUUUCAUCCCCCCAUCCCAUCCCCUAAUCUGUAUCCUUUGGAAAUUUUAGAGUGCCAGGCCUCAUGUAAAUACACUGAAAACAAUUUAAGUCAUUUAUAUUCUACUAAGCCAACAGUUCUUAGUGGUGGAAGAAGAUGGGGUCUUACAUGAAUGAAAGGGUCUUGGCUAUUUGCAUGGAUAUCAACAGAAGGACUAGAUGCUUGCACUAAAAGAAAAAGCUGAGAGAUGGGGGCAGGAAGUGGGGAGCUGGGACCCAAGCCCCACCUUCCUGAGUCUGCCUGUCACCAGGAAGGCUGGAGAUGCCAGACGCUGUCCUGAUGCUCCUCUGGGUGGUGUCUCCACCUGCUUGUUUUCAGGAGAGGCCUGGCAGAGGAGGUACAGGACAUUGCUAAGUGGAUUGAAUAAUGUUCCCCCAAAUUCAUGUCUAACCAGAACCUCAGAAUGUGACUUUAUUUAGAAGCAGGGUCUUUGCAGAUGUUAAGUCAAGAUAAGGUCAUAGUGAAUUAGAGUGACCCCAAAUCCAAUGCCUGCUCUGCUUCUAGGAAGGGGAGACACAGGAAGAAGGCUGCGUGAAGCUGGAGGCAGAGACGGGGGCAGUGCAGCCAUGGCCAGGGAAUGGUGGCUGGGACAGGCAGGGAAGGUUCCUCCCUGAGCCUUCAGGGCAGCGUGGCCCUUCCACCGCCUUGUUGGCAGACUUCUGCCCUCCAGAAUUAUGAGGCGAUACAUUUCUGUUGUUUUAAGAACAAAAGAAUUAACACCUAGUUUGUGGCCGUUUUUAUGGCAGCCCUAGGAAAUGCAUACAGCUGAGGAGACCUUCUUCCAGGGACCUGCCUCUGAAAGCAUACAAGCAAGUGCCUUCCAGCUUCUGGCGGGGCGGUGGCACAGACAGCUUGGCUUGCUGCGGUGGUCGUUUUCCUCUUUGUGAGCAUGUGCUGGAGAGAUAAAGGCGAGGGAGGAAGUGGAGGAGGCUGGGGCUGCAGAGCCGAGGAAACCGAUGGAAACCCUCUGAGAAGCAGCAACCCAGCGGGUGUGAAGGUUGGCCUCAAUGCCACGGACAGGACUCUACGGAGGGGGCUGGAGUGGGAGAACUUCGUCGUCACAGCUCUGCCCCUCACUCACUAUGUGACCCAAGCAGGACACACUUCCCAGCUGCCUCAAUCUCCUCAUCUGAGGAAUGGGCUGAUUCACACAGUAUCACAUCCUAGGGUGUGCUGAGGAUGUCACACAUAUCCCUGGCAAGGCUGCUGGGAGGACUGAGCGCGUGAGCAGGUGCAAGACCAUUGUCUCCCCGGGUCAGUGCUGUAAAACAGUAGCUGCUAGAGGAUUACAGUGAUACUGUCGUUUCCUUAGUAACAGACGUUGCUGUUUGGGAAAUUCCUAUAGCCAACGGCCAAGCUCCUGGCAUUUAAUGCUGGUGUCUCCAAAGAUUGGUUCUCAUCUCUCGAGGGCUUGUUUUUCAUAAGGGCACACUCUUGCCCCCACAGCAUGCAGGCUGACGUCACACGCUGCCCUGAAUCACACCGUGGUACCACCUGUUUCCCUGACGUAAAGCUAGGAGAGGAAUGAUGUGACCAUCCCAAAUGUUCCAGUCACCCUGACGUUUAACCCUGGCUUCUAAGAAGGCUCCAGAUGUUUCUUGUGGUUAGAGCUCCCAGAAAAUGACUCCUUCCUCUAUGAGACAUUAUCUGAUGACAAGAAGAUUCUGAGCGAUGUAGGGGAGUGAGAAUAUUUUCAUAAUAUCUGCCAUUAGAAUAACUUAGAAAUGGAAGGCCCAGGUUGAGAAAUUAGGAUCCCAUGCACACUGCACUCUUGUGAGGAGGUGCAGAAGUUACCUCUUCUCUUGGAAAUUCUCUUUCUUAGAACUCGGAUGUUUAUCAACCACCUAACUGGCUGCUUGAAGGAUGGUCACCUUUUUCUGUAUUGGUUUGCAAAGAAAGGAAGUUGCAAAAGGUCACGAAGCAACUCCAUAUCCUUUGGAAAUUUUAGCGUGCCGGGCCUCAUGUAGAUAAACUGAAAACAAUUUAAGUCUUUUAUGUUGUACUAAGUCAAGAGUUCUUUAGCAGUGGAAGAAGAUGGGGUCUUGCAUGAAUGGAAGGGUCUUGGCUAUUUGCAUUGGUAUCGAGGGAAGGACUAGAUGCUUGCACUAAACGAAAAAGCUGAGGGAUGGGAACAGGAAGUGGGGAGCAAAUCUGAGACUGAAUAAAUGUGAAUAAAAGAGCUAAGAUUGUUGAGCAGGUACUAGGAGCUGGGUCAGAUUUUAUUCCCAAGAAAUCUUAGUUAUUCUGCCUCCUUCUAGAUAGGGAAUGUGUUGCUUACCUUUGCGUCCACACCUGGCUCAUACCAACCAUGCAACCAAUAAUUGUUCAUCAGAGGAAGGUUGUCAAAGGCUCGGACAACCCUUCAGUAACUCUUUCAGGGAAGCCACCCGCCCAUUUCAUCUUAUCUGCUUGGCUUUCAGUGUUUAUCAUGUCAGUGACUCUUUGUCCCAGACCGGAGAUUGAUUUCGGUCACCUGCCGGGGUCAUUAGAGCGGUGAUGUCAUCACACAUCUGGCCCAGCUGGUUGGGACUGGGACUUCGAUGCUGUGUCUGUGACCAGGCUUGUUAGGCUUAGCAGAGAGCUGGCAUCCUGGCCACCGGCCGGGGUCAGGGUUUCCCAGCAGGGCGUCUCCUUCCUGGAAAUACCCUCUUCUCCCAGCCUUUGGUCUCCUCUCCUGCGUCUGGCGCCCAGAACCUUCCUGGGCCUCCUCUAUCCCUCCAACCACCUGCCUGGAUUAGCUAGCUUCCAGAUUCAGCAAGGAGAGGGGUGAGGGGCUGGAAGGCAGGGCCCGGCCUGGGGUCUUCUGAUGCCCUAUGCUGUGGCUUGGCUCCUUGUAGCUGCUGCUCUGUCUCUGGGCUGGAUCAGUGGGAGGUGGAGGCUCUGGAAGGAUGCAUGGCGGCUCCAGGGUUCUACCUGGCAACAGCGUGAGUCUAGCUCAUCAUUAUCAAAGGAAAUACUUACAGGUCAGAGGUACAGUUCCUUAUGGCUUGAUUUGGGCCAUGACAUCUCCCAGAAAGCGUCUUCUGAGGUGAGAGAUUUUGGCAACCUCCAGGGCAACAGGUUUCCUCUUUGCACCUCAUGACCAUCUUUCCUGGCUUAGAAAUGAAUGUCAGCCCCGGUCAAUGUACACUGUGUGUCAUUUAAGAAUUACUCAUAUAUGGGUGGAAUUACACUAACAUGUCCUCACCGCGAUGGUUCCUUCUGGGUUCCAUAAGGGAUACAAAGGUGAACUGAGCACACAUCUUGUCUUCAAGAACUCUGGCAUAGCAGGGAUACAAGUGCACACGUGUGUAUACAGACACAUACACACGCACACGCUGUAUUAGGUCUGCUGCUGCUCUAACAACUGAUCACAAACACGGUGGCUUAAAACAAUGCAAACUUACUAUCUUACACUCCUGGUGGCCAGCCACCUGACCCAGGUCUCCUGGGUCUAACGUGAAGGUGGCGGCAUUGCUCUCCUUUCUGGAGAUUCUUUUCUCCUGUGCUUUCCAGCUUCUUCCUGCCCCGGGCUUGUGGCCCCUUCCUCUGUUUCUGACCCUUCCGUGCUUACACCUGUCCGUGCCCACAUCGGGGAAAGGAUCCCCACUUUAAGGGCUCGUGUGAUGAGAUUGGGCUCACCUGAAUAGUCCAGAAGAAUUUUCUCGUCUCAACCUUGAUCACACCUGCAAAGUCCCUUUUGCCAUGGAAAGUAACAUACUCAUGGGUUUCGGGGAUUGGGAAAUGGCCCUAUUUUGCCAUAUUUUGCUGGGGGCGGGGAGGAUAUUAUUCUGCCUACCAUAAACAUGUGCACACAAAUAGUAACAAUAAGUAUAAAUUUAUGUUUAUAUAUGUAUAAACAGUUCCUAUAAUACAACAUAGAUGAGUGAUUGGGAGUUUAUUGGAGCUCCUGCCUGGGGGCGUACUCCAGAUCUGGGUUGGAGUUGGGGGCAGUGUUGUGUAGGGGAUGAGUUUGCAAAAGCAUACAUUCAAGAACAAUGAAGUAUGACACACGUCGCUGUGUCAUACCUUCAUAUCUGUCAAUCAUCUAUCUACCUAUUUUUAUUUUGUGUAUUUUUUU